GCACAAGCAGUGGAGUAUGUGGUUUAAUUCGAAGCAACGCGAAGAACCUUACCAGGUCUUGACAUCCGAUGCACAGCACAGAGAUGUGUGAAAUCCUUCGGGACAUCGAGACAGGUGGUGCAUGGUUGUCGUCAGCUCGUGUCGUGAGAUGUUGGGUUAAGUCCCGCAACGAGCGCAACCCUUAUUGCCAGUUACUACGUUAAGAGGACUCUGGCGAGACUGCCGUUGAUAAAA
This 234-nucleotide ribosomal RNA is filed under the name uncultured bacterium. RNAcentral's name for it is "partial 16S ribosomal RNA". It matches the Rfam family "Bacterial small subunit ribosomal RNA", at positions 923 to 1163 of the family's 1533-position model. The record is from RNAcentral.